This 2911-nucleotide ribosomal RNA is filed under the name mine drainage metagenome. RNAcentral's name for it is "bacterial LSU rRNA". It matches the Rfam family "Bacterial large subunit ribosomal RNA", at positions 1 to 2083 of the family's 2925-position model. The record is from RNAcentral.
AAAAAUGAACUUAGGGCAUACAGGUGGAUACCUUGGCUCAACAGGCGAUGAAGGACGUGCAAAGCUGCGAAAAGCGUCGGGGAGCUGCUUAGAAGCUACGAUCCGGCGAUAUCCGAAUGGGGCAACCCCCAUGCCGUCAUGGGCAUGGACACCGCGAUGAAUUCAAUAGUCGCGAGUGAGCGUACCCGGUGAACUGAAACAUCUAAGUAGCCGGAGGAAUAGACAUCAAACGAGAUUCCCGUAGUAGUGGCGAGCGAACUGGGAACAGCCUAAACCGUUUACGUGCAAGCGUUCGGGCGUUGCGUAAGCGGGGUUGUACGACAACCAUCCGAGGUCCGAAUACCUCGGCACGAGUUACCAAAUCGAUCGAUAAUCGAAGCCGGCUGGAAAGCCGCACCAGAGUAGGUGAUAGUCCUGUAGGUGAAAUCGUUCGAUCUCGUGGUGUUGUUCGUGAGUAGGGCGGGGCACGAGAAACCUUGUCUGAAACUGGGAGGACCAUCUUCCAAGGCUAAAUAUUCUGUUGAGACCGAUAGUGAACGAGUACCGUGAGGGAAAGGUGAAAAGAACCCCCGAAGGGGAGUGAAAUAGAAUAUGAAACCGUAUGCCUACAAACCGUGAAAGGCCAAUGCGCAAGCAAGGCUAAUCGCGUGCCUAUUGAAGAAUGAACCUGCGAGUUACUUGUAACGGGCUUGGUUAAGGUGUUGAGCCGGAGCCGUAGCGAAAGCGAGUCUGAAUAGGGCGAAUUUGUCCGUUGCAGUAGACCCGAAACCGGGUGAUCUAUCCAUGGCCAGGUUGAAGCAUGAUUAAUCUCAUGUGGAGGACCGAACCUGUCGUUGUUGAAAAAACGUUGGAUGAGCUGUGGAUAGGGGUGAAAAGCCAAUCGAACCCGGAGAUAGCUGGUUCUCCCCGAAAUAGUUUGAGGACUAGCGUCGUUUGUUAACCCACGGGGGUAGAGCACUGACAGAGCUAGGGGUCUUACCGGAUUACCGAACUCCAUCAAACUCCGAAUACCGUGGCGAAUUAAGCGGCAGUCAGACUGUGGGGGAUAAGCUCCAUGGUCAAAAGGGAAACAGCCCAGAUCAACAGCUAAGGUCCCUAAUCGAUGCUCAGUGGUAAAGGAAGUCUUGUCGCAGAAACAACUAGGAGGUUGGCUUAGAAGCAGCCACCCUUGAAAGAGUGCGUAAUAGCUCACUAGUCGAGUGGCGAGGCGCCGAAAAUGUAACGGGGCUCAAGCAUCGAACCGAAGCUUUGGGAUGUGUAAACAUCGGUAGGGGAGCGUUGUGGCGUAGGCUGAAGCACGACCGCGAGGACGUGUGGACGAACCACAAGUGCGAAUGCAGGUAUAAGUAGCGAUAAAAGAGAGUGAGAACCUCUCUCGCCGGAAGUCUAAGGUUUCCUGAGCUACGUCAAUCGUCUCAGGGUGAGUCGGGAGCUAAGCCGAGGCUGAGAAGCGUAGGCGAUGCACAAGCAGUUCAUAUUCUGCUACCACCGACGACCGUUAAGACUCUGUCGAACAGCAUUCUCGAUCGUGAAAGCGAUCGGUGGUGCCGUUCGUCAUGGUCUUUGAAUUGAUGGGGUGACGCAGGAAGAUAUGUCAUCGCGCUGAUGGAUAUGCGCGUCUAAGCCGGUAGGUGUUGCUGUAGGUAAAUCCGCAGCAUUUAACACCGAGAAGCGAAUGCGAGGCUCUUCGGAGCCGAAGUGACAGACUCUACGCUGCCAAGAAAAGCCUCUAUAUAGGAUCGUAGGUGCCCGUACCGUACACCGACACUGGUAGACUGGCAGAGCAUGCUAAGGCGACGGGAGAACCCCUGUUAAGGAACUCGGCAAAUUGACCCCGUAACUUUGGGAGAAGGGGUGCCUUCGUCGGACUAGACAUUACGUCGAAAGCUGAUGGAGGUCGCAGAAAAUAGGCCCAAGCGACUGUUUAACAAAAACACAGGUCUCUGCGAAUGCGAAAGCAGACGUAUAGGGGCUGACUCCUGCCCGGUGCUGGAAGGUUAAAGGGACGGGUUAGCGCAAGCGAAGCUCGGAACUGAAGCCCCAGUAAACGGCGGCGGUAACUAUAACCGUCCUAAGGUGACACAAUCGUUGCCUCGCCGCGUAGUAAUAUGCGGCUGUACACUUGGCUAUAUGCGGGAACAUCCUUUAGAGCCCACGCCUACUCGUCGACGGCUCGUCGGCAGUAACAAUGGCUGGGAUUGGACAAUCCGCAGGAAACGUGCUCUUCGAUCGCUUCACGGCGUUCGUGGAAAGCGGAUCCUCAGAGACUAUACGCCAGGCAUCCAACGGUAUCGAAAGGUACGAUAACGAUGAACCUCGACCCUCAAUGGGUGGUUGGAUUCGUCGAUGGAGAGGGUUGCUUCUUCAUCGGGGUCCAGAGAAACCCAACGGUCAGAAUCGGCUUCCAAGUCAUUCCGGAAUUUCGCGUCGUUCAACAUAAACGCGAUCUCGACGUGCUCCACGGGCUGAAGAAAUUCUUCGGUUUCGGGCGCAUUUGUCAAAAUCACGACGAUCGAUGGGAAUACCGGGUGAGAAAACUCGAGCAGCUCCGCGAGAUCGCGGCCUUUUUCGAAAAGUACUCGUUACGAACGAAAAAGCGCAUCGACGCUCAGAGAUUUGCGAAGGUUUUAACACUGAUGGAAGAUGGCCGGCAUCUGACAAAUGAAGGCUUGAGGGAGAUCGAAGAUAUCGCGCUUUCGAUGAAUACCGGUAAUCGUCCGCGAUUGCAGGCAUUAUUGGAUGAAGAUAGAGUCCACUCCGGCGUGAAAGCGUCGGAAGAAAAGUGAGCGAAAUUCCUUGUCGGGUAAGUUCCGACCUGCACGAAUGGAGUAACGACUUGGGCGCUGUCUCGAUGGGGGGCCCGGCGAAAUUGCAGUACCAGUGAAGAUGCUGGUUACCCGCAGCAGGACGG